RNAcentral lists this ribosomal RNA (445 nucleotides) under uncultured bacterium. RNAcentral's name for it is "partial 16S ribosomal RNA". It matches the Rfam family "Bacterial small subunit ribosomal RNA", at positions 354 to 796 of the family's 1533-position model. The record is from RNAcentral.
GUGAGGAAUAUUGCGCAAUGGAGGCAACUCUGACGCAGCCAUGCCGCGUGCAGGAAGAAGGCGCUACGCGUUGUAAACUGCUUUUAACCGGGAAGAAACCCCAGGACGUGUCCUGGGUUGACGGUACCGGAGGAAUAAGCACCGGCUAACUUCGUGCCAGCAGCCGCGGUAAUACGAAGGGUGCAAGCGUUAUCCGGAUUCAUUGGGUGUAAAGGGUGCGUAGGCGGAGCGUUAAGUCAGUGGUGAAAUCCUGCAGCUUAACUGUAGACUUGUCAUUGAUACUGGCGCUCUUGAGUGCGCUUGAAGUGGGCGGAAUGUGCCGUGUAGCGGUGAAAUGCUUAGAUAUGGCACAGAACACCAAUUGCGAAGGCAGCUCACUAAGGCGAUACUGACGCUGAGGCACGAAAGCGUGGGGAUCGAACAGGAUUAGAAACCCCUGUAGUCC